Molecule: long non-coding RNA, 1754 nt
Organism: Oncorhynchus gorbuscha (pink salmon)
Lineage: Eukaryota; Metazoa; Chordata; Actinopteri; Salmoniformes; Salmonidae
Exons: 3
Source: RefSeq, a predicted model, not a curated record
AUGCCGGAACUGAAAUGACUAAUUCUGCUAGCUUGUGGUUCUGCGGGGACUCACUAAUGAGGAUGGACACAGGCUGGCUGUGGGUGCCCACUCCGGCGCUGGUCACUGCUGCCACCUCCACCUGGUACAGAAUGCCUGGCAGCAGCCCCUUGAGCACAGUGGAGAGGAAGGUGCCAUCUACGGUGGUGUUGAUGUGGUAGCGGGUCUGGGUGUCGUUGCCUACACACCACACCUGUUAUUGUUGGUUGGAGGAUGGUACUGACCUUGUGUGCGGACGGGCUCAGAGAUGGGGCUGGGGUCACUCAGGCCAUAAGCGUUGACCGCUCGGACGAUGAAUAGGUAGAUGGUGUUGGGGAAGAGACCACUGACCGUGUGUUUCUCCAACUUGACCAAGUCAGCCACCGUUUGCCAUGUACUGCCUGCUGAUUGGCUAAAAGAAUCCAACUCAGCGGCAAGUAGCCUAGCGGUUAAGAGCGUUGGUCCAGUAACCGAAAGGUCAGAGGCGUGUGUGAAACAAUUGUGGAGGCAAAAGCAUUGACAUGAUAUCUCUGCAUUGGCAUGAUUGGUUGACAAUAGGUGGCGGCGGUACGUCCUGUAAUAAACACAAACUUGACAACUUCCUUCACAAUAGCUCUGCUCCGCCAAGUGCAAUAAAUAUGAAAGCCCUGAUGACUGAGGAGGCUGCUUCACAGUAAAUGCUGUACACCACUUCAGACACAGAUUGACGUUUAGGCUGCCCGCAGCAACUCUCUGAUUCGGAGGGGUUGGGUUAAAUGCGGAAGAGACAUUUUGGUUGUGCAACUGACUAGGUAUAACCCUUCGUUAGGUUAUUGGCAAAGCAUUCCACCAAACAUUGCCAUGACUCAAUAGUGACUACAAACUGUUCCUCAGUCUUUUUUUUACAGAGAAUCAGAUAGGAGCCACUAGAAUAGCAGAGCCCAGGCUGAAGCUGUUUGCUUAGUCAUUAAGUGCUGUGUUCAGCGAUGCUUCGCUAUCCCCCAUGCUCAUUUGACGCACUGCGUUCCCGAGCCCAGUGACAGGUCCAGGAAAUGAUGACGGAGCUAUUUUUAUCCCACUCAGGUUUUUAGCCACGACGCACCAUCAGACCAUGCCAGAGCAUCUGGUAAAUAACAAUAACGCCAGCUGUGUGUUUAUGACAAGUUUCUUUGUUCGUUUAAAAAAAAAAGUUUGUCAUCUUAAAUAUUCGUGUUUUGCCUUCUAAUAAAUAAAGUGAUAAAUCUUGUGAGCAAUGCAUCUAAUAAAGGCAGUUCCGUUUGCAUUUUCCUCUCCUGCCUGGUCUUCUUUAGAUUUGCUGUCACACCUUGUUUAUUGUUUACUGGCAUAGUUACAUGACACCCUCCUCCACCCUUCGUCACUCGCUUUUCUUAUCUUUUCCUCAACCCGUUCCUUUUUCAUUUCCCCCUCGGGACCAGUGACUGCUGUAGCAGACAAGUGACUUUAUAGCCGACCUGCGCAAUUAGGCGACAGCGAUAAAAGCUGUGUGAGCCGUAAAUAUUCCUCCAGCGGACCGCCCAAAAGUGAUAAAUCCAAGGUCACUUUGUCCGAGGAGAGGCUGGGAAACUUGGGACACACACAGGAAACACACAAAUACACACGUACAUAUACACUCUUGCCCCACAAACAUGCCAAUGGGGGAAAAACGAGUGUUCCUCACCUCCAUGUCCUAUAGAAUGGAGAGAGGACAAUGGUAAAUCUGCCCAUCUUCAUACAGUAACAACAUGUCAGGAUUCUAU